Molecule: microRNA precursor, 89 nt
Filed under: Prunus dulcis (almond)
Lineage: Eukaryota; Viridiplantae; Streptophyta; Magnoliopsida; Rosales; Rosaceae
Description: sRNA ncRNA
Source: RNAcentral
AUAUAUAUAAAAGUAUAGCCGCGCGGCUAUACUAUUUAUUUGAAUUUUUAAAAAAUAGUAUAGCCGUGCGGUUGUACUCUUGUUUUGCA